UAUUACCCGGAAUCUGGAUGGGACCGCCUCC
This 31-nucleotide non-coding RNA is filed under the name Homo sapiens (human). Lineage: Eukaryota; Metazoa; Chordata; Mammalia; Primates; Hominidae. The record is from RNAcentral.